Molecule: ribosomal RNA, 468 nt
Filed under: uncultured bacterium
Lineage: Bacteria
Description: partial 16S ribosomal RNA
Rfam family: Bacterial small subunit ribosomal RNA
Source: RNAcentral
GACGAACGCUGGCGGCGUGCUUAACACAUGCAAGUCGAACGGAAAGGCCCUGCUUUUGUGGGGUGCUCGAGUGGCGAACGGGUGAGUAACACGUGAGUAACCUGCCCUUGACUUUGGGAUAACUUCAGGAAACUGGGGCUAAUACCGGAUAGGAGCUCCUGCUGCAUGGUGGGGGUUGGAAAGUUUCGGCGGUUGGGGAUGGACUCGCGGCUUAUCAGCUGGUUGGUGGGGUUGUGGCUUACCAAGGCUUUGACGGGUAGCCGGCCUGAGAGGGUGACCGGCCACAAGGGGACUGAGAGACGGCGCAGACGCCUACGGGAGGCAGCAGUGGGGAAUAUUGCACAAUGGGCGGAAGCCUGAUGCAGCAACGCCGCGUGCGGGAUGGCGGCCUUCGGGUGGUAAACCGCUUUCGCCUGUGACGAAGCGUGAGUGACGGUAAUGGGUAAAGAAGCACCGGCUAACUACGUG